This 383-nucleotide ribosomal RNA is filed under the name uncultured eukaryote. Its description in RNAcentral is "partial 18S ribosomal RNA". It matches the Rfam family "Eukaryotic small subunit ribosomal RNA", at positions 592 to 976 of the family's 1831-position model. The record is from RNAcentral.
CAAUAGCGUAUAUUAAAGUUGUUGCAGUUAAAGAGCUCGUAGUUGGAUUUCUGGUAGGAGCGACCGUGCCGAACUUGAUUGUUCGAGUAUUGUGUUGUCUUCAGCCAUCCUCGUGGAGAACUUUUCUAACAUUAACUUGUUGGGAUUGGGACCCGCGUCGUUUACUGUGAAAAAAUUAGAGUGUUUAAAGCAGGCAUUAGCUUGAAUACAUUAGCAUGGAAUAAUAAGAUAGGACUUUGGUACUAUUUUGUUGGUUUGCAUACCAAAUUAAUGAUCAACAGGAACAGUUUGAGGAUAUUCGUAUGAACAUGUCAGAGGUGAAAUUCUUGGAUUUUGAUCAGACGAACUACUGCGAAAGCAUUUAUCAAGGAUGUUUUCAUUAA